This is a non-coding RNA of Potamilus streckersoni, 78 nucleotides long. The record is from the annotation of a GenBank genome assembly. Lineage: Eukaryota; Metazoa; Mollusca; Bivalvia; Unionida; Unionidae.
GACCGCUCCUGUGGCCUAGUGGUUAGAGCGUCAGCCUCAGAUGCAAAAGAUCACGGGGUUCGAAUCCCGGCAGAGUCA